RNAcentral lists this long non-coding RNA (752 nucleotides) under Pan troglodytes (chimpanzee). RNAcentral describes it as "long non-coding RNA NONPTRT001158". Lineage: Eukaryota; Metazoa; Chordata; Mammalia; Primates; Hominidae. The record is from RNAcentral.
GUCAAAUCCUAGAAAAUGUAGAAUUCCUAUGCAUAAUGUUAAUUCUGUGGUGAGCUUAUGGCACUGAAAUGGUGUGACAAGAAGGAGGUGACAAUGUUGUCAACAUUCCACAAUGAUACUGUGAUUGAAGUAAACAACAGAAAUGGAAAGAAGACUAAGAAGCCAUGUGUCAUUGUGGAUUAUCACAAGAAUGUGGGAGCAGUGGACUGGCUGAUCAGAUGCUCACUUCCUAUCCAACUGAGCACAAAAGGCACAAGUGCUAAGCUCCUACAUCCUGUUCUGGAAGGACAAUCCUGAGCACACGAUGAGCCGUAUAAACUUCAGACUGACGCUGAGUGAAAGAAUGCUGGAAAAGCAUCACAGGCCAGGGCAGCAAAGUCUUCAAGGUCAUCCAUGCUCUGAUGAUGUCACGCUUCUUCUCUGUCUGGAAGACAUUUCCCCAAGAGCAUACCACCAACAUCAGGGAAAUGGAAUCCAACUGGUCGCUGCAAAGUUUGCUGAGCACACAAUGAUAAAGAUGACAAGAAGGUCCUGAGAGAAACACAAUAUUUUUGUGCAGAAUGGGAUGUUCUGCCUUUGUCCCAUGCUUUGAAAUUUACCACAUGAAAAAUAAAAUUAAAUACUGAUAAUCAUAUACGUUUCUGUUAUAUUAGGAUUAGAGACAAGUUCUGUUUAGAAAUAACUCCAAGAACAGUUUUUAUAUUUUGUUUUCACAUUGAAAAAUCAGUCAGAUUUGCUUUAGCUUCAAGGAG